GCGCCGCCCUUCGGCGUGUGGCCGAAGACCAUGGACUCGGCAGACUGCAUCAUGGCGGCGUCCCUGGGUGCGACGGGCCGGUCGGCCAAGUCUCCGCCCACCGGGAACACAUCACCGUACCUUAUGCCCGCGUCCUGUGCUUGGUAUGGCCUUCUUGGUUGUUCCUGGCUCAUUUCGCCUUGAGGUGUCCGAUCCCGUUUGAAGAUGGCAUGGUCUCACCGGCUGUGGCUUUAUAUACAGGGGAGAUGAGAUUGGGAACGUCGGCACGUCCAAGUAUAUUAUUGACACGUGUGGAGCCGUAGGUACGCGGCGGGACGUCAUGGGACGGAAACGUGGAGGAGUUUUGGGACCGGAAGGAAAUGGUGCAUGAGAUGCCGGCACGUGAAGCGGUGCACGAUAACUCGGCGGCGAUGUGGCGUGGGCGCGUCGACCGGUGCACGAUUAAUCGGUGGCGACGUGGUGUGGGACGUCUUCUCUCUCGCACAGGGCUGAUUGCGGAUGCGGGUUUCUUCUUGCAUGUAUCGGAUCUAUUCGAUCCGCUUCAAACGUGGUGAGGUAUUGUUUUGAAUUUCUCGCGAAUGUUUAUCUUUUUAUGUAUGAUGCUAGAACAUUAUUGAUAGAGCAUAUUAUGGAUCUCGCCGUAUGGACACACGAC
RNAcentral lists this long non-coding RNA (655 nucleotides) under Musa acuminata (dwarf banana). RNAcentral's name for it is "long non-coding RNA (MACU_LNC001545)". Lineage: Eukaryota; Viridiplantae; Streptophyta; Magnoliopsida; Zingiberales; Musaceae. The record is from RNAcentral.